Molecule: non-coding RNA, 21 nt
Filed under: Caenorhabditis elegans
Lineage: Eukaryota; Metazoa; Nematoda; Chromadorea; Rhabditida; Rhabditidae
Source: RNAcentral
UAUCGUUGUAAACUAAAAAGC